GGCGGAGUCAGGAUACUUUCUCUUUACUAAUUCACAAGGUCUGUCUCUGAGUUCAGUACCAAGCAUAAUGUCUAGCAAAAAGCCAGUGUUCACUACAUGUUUGUUCCCUCAGUGAGUGUGACACUUCUGUCGGAGGUCCCAGUUCAUAAUGACAUUUGUUUUUAACUAGGUGCUUGUAGCAUUGUGCAAAAAUGAGGCCUAGGAGCUUCUUGAAAAAUUCUGUCAGGAAGAAGACUAAACAAGAGAAAAGCUGGCACCGGAAACUUACCUGAUCACCUUACUCAUCUGAGGCCUGGGCUCUCUACAUUGUAAAAUCUCCGUUAGGAUGAACACAGUGCUCUCCUCACAGUGGGCCUGGAAAUUCACAUUCUUGCACAAUUAGCAAGCUCCCACAUGGUUAGUGAAUGUGAAUCACAGAACCAAGCCUGCACCCAUUCUGAUUCUCUAAGGGGCAAUAGUACAGUGAAGGGAAGCCUCCAGAAGCUAGCACAGAAGCCCUUCUGCCCUGAGUCCAAAGGGACAGUCACACCCACAUAGAGCUGCAGAGAAGAAAAGCACAAUUCAGGAAGCACUUCAGAGUGAAGAUGGGCUGGCAAAGGAAGCUGGGGGAGGAACUAUGGUAAAAAGAAAGAGUUUUUCUCAGCAGACCUGGUGGGAAUCAUGCUGACUCCAAACACUCCUGGAAAUAAAGCUUGAACCAGCAGAAAGAAAAGCCAGUCAAAAGCCUGACUUGCCAUCUUCUUCAACAAUGCUGCUUUCCACAGCACACAUAUCAGGUGACACAGCAUGACGUAAUGCCAGGAGUAUGGACUUUUCCAUCUUUCACACGUGGGUGCAGAUCCUGAUUCCAUCAUCAGUAAUUAUGUGAACAGAAGAAAGAUGACGUAUCUUCUCUGAGGCUGUUUUCUCAUCUACAAAAUGAGAUAAUAACAGCACCUGUCUACUUGGCUAUGAAGUGAGUCUUUGAAAUCACACAGGAAAAGUCUAGAAACCUUGCUAAAAACUCAUCACUUCUUCUCAGCAUGGACAUUUGCUCACCCUGAUCCCAUCUUCCUCCACUUUCCAUCACUACCUCGGCAAGGCCCAGGCACACCACUUCCUCUGUCACCGAGGUCCGAGAUCCCCCCAGCA
RNAcentral lists this long non-coding RNA (1131 nucleotides) under Fukomys damarensis (Damara mole-rat). Its description in RNAcentral is "lncRNA (ENSFDAG00000032535.1)". Lineage: Eukaryota; Metazoa; Chordata; Mammalia; Rodentia; Bathyergidae. The record is from RNAcentral.